AGUGUAGGUGGUUGUCCAAGUUGGAUGUGAAAGCCUUGAGCUCAACUCAAGAAAUGCAUUCAGGACUGGAUGACUAGAGGACCGGAGAGGAUAGUGGAAUUCCCAGUGUAGUGGUGAAAUACGUAGAGAUUGGGAAGAACACCAGUGGCGAAGGCGGCUAUCUGGACGGUUUCUGACACUAAGACUCGAAAGCGUGGGGAGCAAACAGGAUUAGAUACCCUGGUAGUCCACGCCGUAAACGAUGGGUGCUAGACGUUGGCGAGCUUGCUCGUCAGUGUCGCAGCUAACGCGUUAAGCACCCCGCCUGGGGAGUACGGCCGCAAGGUUGAA
Molecule: ribosomal RNA, 330 nt
Filed under: uncultured Reyranella sp.
Lineage: Bacteria; Pseudomonadati; Pseudomonadota; Alphaproteobacteria; Hyphomicrobiales; Reyranellaceae
Description: bacterial SSU rRNA
Rfam family: Bacterial small subunit ribosomal RNA
Source: RNAcentral